RNAcentral lists this ribosomal RNA (1391 nucleotides) under metagenome. RNAcentral's name for it is "bacterial LSU rRNA". It matches the Rfam family "Bacterial large subunit ribosomal RNA", at positions 1500 to 2912 of the family's 2925-position model. The record is from RNAcentral.
GGGAUAGUUCGUUAAAGGCCGUAGGUAUAUGGACUGUAGUUAAGUACGCAGACCAUGCUGAAAGCUGAUAGUACUUGAAACCUUCGGGGGACGAGACAGUUCAGGUAAUCAGACUUCCAAGAAAACCCGCUAAGCUUCAGGUUAUAAAAACCCGUUCCGUAAACCGACACAGGUAGUCGAGGAGAGAAUCCUAAGGUGCUCGAGUGAAUCAUGGCUAAGGAACUCGGCAAAAUGGCCCUGUAACUUCGGGAGAAGGGGCGCUUUCAGCAAUGGAAGCCGCAGUGAAAAGGCCCAGGCGACUGUUUAACAAAAACACAUGGCUUUGCAAAAUCGAAAGAUGACGUAUAAGGCCUGACACCUGCCCGGUGCCGGAAGGUUAAGAGGGGAUGUUAGUCGCAAGGCGAAGCAUUGAAUCGAAGCCCCGGUAAACGGCGGCCGUAACAAUAACGGUCCUAAGGUAGCGAAAUUCCUUGUCGGGUAAGUUCCGACCUGCACGAAUGGUGUAACGAUCUGGGCGCUGUCUCAGCCAUGAGCUCGGUGAAAUUGUGGUAUCGGUGAAGACGCCGGUUACCCGCAACGGGACGGAAAGACCCCAUGCACCUUCACUACAACUUAACAUUGGUAUCGGAUACAGGAUGUGUAGGAUAGGUGGGAGACUGUGAUCUGGCUUCGCUAGGAGUCAGUUAGUCAACGUUGAAAUACCACCCUUUCUGUAUUUGGUGUCUAACCCUGCAUAGCGGGGGACAUUGUUUGGCGGGUAGUUUGACUGGGGUGGUCGCCUCCAAAAAGGUAACGGAGGCUUUCAAAGGUAAGCUUAGUACGCUUGGUAACCGUACGUGGAGUGCAAUAGCAUAAGCUUGCUUGACUGUGAGGCAGACAAGCCGAGCAGGGUCGAAAGACGGAUAUAGUGAUCCGGUGGUUCUGCAUGGAAGGGCCAUCGUUCAAAGGAUAAAAGGUACGCUGGGAUAACAGGCUGAUCUCCCCCAAGAGCUCAUAUCGACGGGGAGGUUUGGCACCUCGAUGUCGGCUCGUCACAUCCUGGGGCUGGAGAAGGUCCCAAGGGUUGAGCUGUUCGCUCAUUAAAGUGGCACGCGAGCUGGGUUCAGAACGUCGCGAGACAGUUCGGUCCCUAUCUGUUGUGGGCGCAGGAAGUUUGAGUGGGGCUGACCUUAGUACGAGAGGACCGGGUUGGACUAACCUCUGGUGAAUCUGUUAUGGCGCCAGCUGUAUUGCAGAGUAGCUACGUUGGGAAUAGAUAAGCGCUGAAAGCAUCUAAGUGCGAAACUAGCCACAAGAUGAGACUUCCAUUGAGGGUCGUAGGAGACUACUACUUUGAUAGGUCAUAGGUAUAAAGGUGGUGACAUCAUAGCCAAGUGAUACUAAUUGCCCAA